AUCUACAUUCAACAAUCUUCCACUUACGAUUGUUUCUUUUAUGGAAAUUAAGACUCAAUGUUCUCUAAUAAAUGCUCAAGACAGAAAGAGAAAGAUCAAAGACUGAACUCUUUUUUUGACCAAUCAAAUCUUAGAUAAAAUGUAGAAGUAUUCGUUCGAAGAAUUCUAACAAAUAAUAUAAUUUCAAUAAUUUACCAUAAUGUCAAAUUGCAGAAAAGAUCACGUUUCA
RNAcentral lists this long non-coding RNA (229 nucleotides) under Carica papaya (papaya). RNAcentral's name for it is "long non-coding RNA (CPAP_LNC007217)". The record is from RNAcentral. Lineage: Eukaryota; Viridiplantae; Streptophyta; Magnoliopsida; Brassicales; Caricaceae.